UACGGAGGGUGCGAGCGUUAAUCGGAAUUACUGGGCGUAAAGCGCGCGUAGGUGGCUUGAUAAGCCGGUUGUGAAAGCCCCGGGCUCAACCUGGGAACGGCAUCCGGAACUGUCAAGCUAGAGUGCAGGAGAGGAAGGUAGAAUUCCCGGUGUAGCGGUGAAAUGCGUAGAGAUCGGGAGGAAUACCAGUGGCGAAGGCGGCCUUCUGGACUGACACUGACACUGAGGUGCGAAAGCGUGGGUAGCAAACAGG
Molecule: ribosomal RNA, 253 nt
Filed under: uncultured bacterium
Lineage: Bacteria
Also listed under: 2 other names
Description: partial 16S ribosomal RNA
Rfam family: Bacterial small subunit ribosomal RNA
Source: RNAcentral